UUGACCUCGGAUCAGGUAGGGUUACCCGCUGAACUUAAGCAUAUCAAUAAGCGGAGGAAAAGAAACCAACAGGGAUUGCCCCAGUAACGGCGAGUGAAGCGGCAACAGCUCAAAUUUGAAAUCUGG
RNAcentral lists this ribosomal RNA (126 nucleotides) under Yunnania penicillata. RNAcentral's name for it is "partial 28S ribosomal RNA". It matches the Rfam family "Eukaryotic large subunit ribosomal RNA", at positions 1 to 125 of the family's 3401-position model. Lineage: Eukaryota; Fungi; Ascomycota; Sordariomycetes; Microascales; Microascaceae. The record is from RNAcentral.